RNAcentral lists this transfer RNA (84 nucleotides) under compost metagenome. RNAcentral describes it as "tRNA-Leu". It matches the Rfam family "tRNA". Rfam says of the family: Transfer RNA (tRNA) molecules are approximately 80 nucleotides in length. Their secondary structure includes four short double-helical elements and three loops (D, anti-codon, and T loops). Further hydrogen bonds mediate the characteristic L-shaped molecular structure. tRNAs have two regions of fundamental functional importance: the anti-codon, which is responsible for specific mRNA codon recognition, and the 3' end, to which the tRNAs corresponding amino acid is attached (by aminoacyl-tRNA synthetases). tRNAs cope with the degeneracy of the genetic code in two manners: having more than one tRNA (with a specific anti-codon) for a particular amino acid; and 'wobble' base-pairing, i.e. permitting non-standard base-pairing at the 3rd anti-codon position. The record is from RNAcentral.
UGCGGUCGUGGUGGAAUGGCAGACACGCUAUCUUGAGGGGGUAGUGCCCACUGGGCGUGCGGGUUCAAAUCCCGCCGACCGCAU